This 85-nucleotide ribosomal RNA is filed under the name Leyella stercorea. RNAcentral describes it as "partial 23S ribosomal RNA". It matches the Rfam family "Bacterial large subunit ribosomal RNA", at positions 1 to 85 of the family's 2925-position model. The record is from RNAcentral. Lineage: Bacteria; Pseudomonadati; Bacteroidota; Bacteroidia; Bacteroidales; Prevotellaceae.
AAGAAAGUAGAAAAGGGCGCAAGGUGGAUGCCUUGGCUCACGGAGGCGAUGAAGGACGUGAUAAGCUGCGAUAAGCCUCGGGUAG